UCAAGCCAGUGCAUACAUCCCGUGCUAGAAGACAUCUUCCCUCUGGGUCUCAACUUUGCUGCUGAUGGCUUAUUGGAUAUUUAGUAAGCUUUUCAUCCCUUAAAUAGGCAUAUGCCACUGGAUGAUGCCACAAGUAGGAGGACCUUUGGUCAUGUGACCAGUGUUUCGACUUUAUCAUGACAUGUGUCUCUUGGAGUGAGGCAAUGUAAUGUGGUAUCUCAAACUAAUAAAUUAAGCAUUUUGUAAGCCCCACGUGUUGGUGCUGUUAGAGCCACUAGAAGUGGGAAGGAAAAGCUAUCUCCAGAACAGGUGCCUCUUCAUUAAGGAUGAAUUACUGUCCCCUCUAGGAAUGCCAUAGUUCAAUAAUACUUCAUACUUGGUGUCAAAAUAAACUUUUGUGACAGACCUCUAAAUUCCCAUAAAUAAGUUUAGUACAUAGUAACUAAAUCAUCAUCAAAGUUUCUGAACAUCAUCAACGACAUGGCCAUAAGAGACUGAUUACUGGGGCAUUUCCAUGCAGUUCAGUGUUGAAUACAUUCAUCAUAGAGCAAUUUGACAGUUGCAAAAAUAGCAGAAUCAAGUUCUGCAAAUCCAGUUGAUGUUUGUAUGUUCCUUUUUGCUACUCGAGCGCCACAAUCUCAUCAGAGACAUUAAAUGAGGGAAGCAAUAAUUGCUUCAUUAACUGCAGCUGCUGAUGUUGAGUCACCUACAAUUAUAUAAUUAUAUACAUACACACAUAUCCACUUUUACUGGAUAAAUGUUUACUUAAUAUUUAUUUGAUCAAACUUUAUUAAGAGUUCACUGUGUGGAAACAGACACAGGCUCAUGUGCAGGCAUGGCAAUGUAUCAGAGAGAUAGAAUCCUAGUCUCUAGAAGAGAAGAUCUAAUCAUGAAAGAAAGAGCUUAAUGCAUGGAUUGGAUGGUGGCUUGUCUUGUAGAUCAUUUUGUCCUAUAGGUGGGUGCAGUGCUUAAAAAUAACUCAGUCUGCAAGUAGAAGAAUAACCUUGACCUUGAUGAAAAACUCAUUGCUCUGCAAACUCUGUUGCUACCCAAAGCAACAUAUAUCUUUCAAAGAUUUCUCAAAUGAGAAUAUAUAUUCAUCCAUAUUGACAAUAAAAUAGGCACAAAAAUAUGGAAGAGGAUAAGAGAAGGCUGUUGGAUGUUGGACCACCUAGACUAGUCUUCUAAUUUUCUUAUUUUCCA
Molecule: long non-coding RNA, 1203 nt
Filed under: Marmota monax (woodchuck)
Lineage: Eukaryota; Metazoa; Chordata; Mammalia; Rodentia; Sciuridae
Source: RNAcentral